RNAcentral lists this ribosomal RNA (427 nucleotides) under uncultured Sphingobacteriales bacterium. RNAcentral describes it as "bacterial SSU rRNA". It matches the Rfam family "Bacterial small subunit ribosomal RNA", at positions 956 to 1382 of the family's 1533-position model. The record is from RNAcentral. Lineage: Bacteria; Pseudomonadati; Bacteroidota; Sphingobacteriia; Sphingobacteriales.
GAUACGCGAGGAACCUUACCUGGGCUCGAACGUAAGAUGACUGUAGGUGAAAGCUUACAUCUCUUCGGAGCAUUUUUACGAGGUGCUGCAUGGUUGUCGUCAGCUCGUGCCGUGAGGUGUCGGGUUAAGUCCCAUAACGAGCGCAACCCCUACCUUUAGUUGCCAUCAGGUUAAGCUGGGGACUCUAAAGGAACUGCCUACGCAAGUAGUGAGGAAGGCGGGGAUGACGUCAAAUCAGCACGGCCCUUACGUCCAGGGCUACACACGUGCUACAAUGGCCGAUACAGAGGGCAGCUACCUGGUGACAGGAUGCAAAUCUCCAAAGUCGGUCUCAGUUCGGAUCGGAGUCUGCAACCCGACUCCGUGAAGUUGGAUUCGCUAGUAAUCGCGCAUCAGCCAUGGCGCGGUGAAUACGUUCCCGGGCCUU